Molecule: non-coding RNA, 125 nt
Organism: Triticum aestivum (bread wheat)
Lineage: Eukaryota; Viridiplantae; Streptophyta; Magnoliopsida; Poales; Poaceae
Source: Rfam
CAUCUACUUCCUCCGUUCGGAAUUACUCGUCCAAAAAAUAAAUGUAUCUGAAUGUAUUUUAGUUAUAAAUACAUCCAUUUUUAAUUUUUUUUAUGAUAAGUAAUUCCGAACGGAGGGAGCACGUG